GACGAACGCUGGCGGCGUGCUUAACACAUGCAAGUCGAACGAAGUGGCGAACGGGUGAGUAACGCGUAAUCAACCUGCCCUUCAGCGGGGGACAACAGUUGGAAACGACUGCUAAUACCGCAUACGGAAGGAGGGGAUUGCGUCUGGUUAGCUGGUUGGAGGGGUAACGGCCCACCAAGGCGAGAAUCAGUAGCCGGUCUGAGAGGUUUGACGGCCACAAUGGGACUGGGACACGGCCCAGACUCCUACGGGAGGCAGCAGUGGGGAAUCUUCCGGAAUGGACGAAAGUCUGACGGGGCAACGCCGCGGGAGUGAUGACGGCCUUCGGGUUGUAAAGCUCUGUUAAUCGGGACGCGGUACCGGAAUAGAAAGCCACGGCUAACUACGUGCCAGCAGCCGCGGUAAUUC
Molecule: ribosomal RNA, 408 nt
Filed under: uncultured bacterium
Lineage: Bacteria
Description: partial 16S ribosomal RNA
Rfam family: Bacterial small subunit ribosomal RNA
Source: RNAcentral